AAAACACAUUCCUAUCAAUUCUAUUUCCAUUCAUCUUCUCUCCAUCAAAUAAUCUAAAAGACAAUCAAAGCUUCUACCUAUCACCUCUUGUUCCAUAUUCUUUUGUUGAAAGAGAACGAUGAAGCGUGAUGAUGAAAUGAUCUCAUAAGCCAAUCGAGUCCUUACUCCCCUAAUACCUUGAACCAUCCCACACGUCUCGUCAAUCGAUUCUCAUCGCCGAUCUGUUGUUGUCGCCGUGUUCUUGCCGUCGGGUUCGAAGUUCACCUAGUCGUGUUUGUCUGGAUGUAUUCCCGCUGUCGUGUUUGUUUGGAUGUAUUCUCGUCGCCGAUCUCGUCGCUUUGCCUUAUUAUGAAUUGGAUUAGAUACGAUGAAGUCUAUGAAAGGAGAAUGAACAAACACGGUGAUAGGAGACCUGAAGAUUGGGUAAUUUCGUUUUUGCUAAAGUCAAAAGGCUUCCAUGCUUGGCCUGCUAAGGUUUUUGUGACAGAACAACCUUGAACAACAACACAGUCAAUACCACAAUUGAUUGGAUAGGAAACUGUAAUAUCAUCAAUGAAACGCUUCUAUAUGUGCCUUGUGGUGUGUAUUUGACUCAGAGCUUCAAUCAUUGAUAUUGAGUUUGGUGAUCUCGUUCUUGCUAAAGUCAAAGGCGUGCUAAUGUAUCUAUCUCUCUCUCUCGGUUUAAUUCAUGGUCAUGUUUUAUUUUUUUCUAGGGUGGUCUUGCACAUACUAUUGUUUAUUAGUAUAUUCUGCUCUGUUUUGUUUUCACGUAUGCUUUUAGCUAUAUAGUUCUUAUUUUCAUCUUAUGAAAAUUCAGGAAGGGGUUCUUGAACUUCAAAAUGAACUUCAUAAAAAGUUUGGAAUUCAGGAUGAACAUAAGGAUUGAUAAUCAGAGAACAAUAAAUAUUUUUUUUUGGCUUCAUGGUUUUUUUCGUUUGUUGUAUGUUGGUCUUUAGUUUGCUACUAGUUUUAGGACUGAGUAAACAUCUUCAUGAUUUCUCAAUUCUUGACCAUUGUGAGAACUGAAAUCUAGUUUCUCCUUCCGAAGUAAUUCGAAUGUGGAGGAGCUUAUCGCCGUUUAUAAUUCCGAACUGAAUUGAGAGAGUUUGGAGAAUUUGAAUUUGUAUUACUGCUUUUGGAAAAUCUUUCUGACCCCUUACAAAAGACCCCUUCCUUACAUAUUUAUACCGACCAAUUUAUUAUCUAAUUAAUACCUAAUUAAUAAGGCACGAUUUGCGCGACCCAAUUAAUCCUCUUGAAUGCGGGAAUCUUUGACCGGGCCCGAGCUGCGAGCUGACCAACACGGAUCACCUCCGCGCUCACUUCCUUCCUCCAGGCCUGAUGGGCCGAUCAGUAAUACGUUCUUGGCCCAUUAGACAAGCCCGACAUGGGCCCUUUUGCUUAUUGCCCGAGAUGGCAGAUCGUGGGUACAACAGUUGCCCCCCAAGUCUCCCGAGCUGAACAGUUCGGGGGACUUUUAACCUUCAAGCGAUCGAUUUUGGGAAACUGAAUAUCCCCCAUAUCUCCACGAUUUGAUCGUGGUAAUGAUGAGAUUUGCCUUCCCGAACAAGCCUCAGGGCCCACUAGGUGGCGUGUUAGCUAUAAGAGAGAGAGAGAGAACGGUGCGAGACCUUUUACUUCCCCAGGUAAUCAUUACUCCCUGGUUCCGUGUAUAAAGGUAAACUCGACUUUACUCUUUCACUCUUAAUCCCCAAUUGUGCUUGUGUUUUCUCCGUUUUUUGAUUUUCUCUCUUUCCUUCUGUGAACUUCUUUUACUUUCGCCGGAAAAUCCUUCACUCUCCCUUUAUUUCUUACUACUUUUACCGGGAAAGCAUGUCUCCGCCAAAAUCCUCAUCGGGAAAACCGCAAAACCCUUAAUUCCGGGCGUUUUCGGCCCCCACAAGCCGUCGAUUCUCUCUGCGGAAAGCAUAGCCGAGAUUAGAGGAUCCACCGGGAUUCCGCCGGAGGUGGAGAUCAGAUUCCCGGAGGCUCAUGAGUCUCCGGAAAACCCCCCUCUGGGGUACUGUUGCGCGUUCGAGAUAUUCUUCUCUGCGUGCGGUCUGUCGUUCCCCCUUCCCGAACUCAUCGUGACGAUGAUGUUCGAACUGGGCUUCGCUCUUCCCCAGAUGUGCCCCAACUUUGUUCCAACUGUCUUUUGCCUUCAAACUCUGGGGGAGGAGUUCAACUACCAGUUAUCAUUGGCCGACUUCCUCCAGGUGUACACGGUGAAGACUGGUCGCACCAAGGGCACACUCUACGUGAGCCUGCUUGCCGGGCUAAAGGUCUUUGACGACCUGCUUGAGAAGGAUGAAAAGUGGCGGAAGUCCUAUUUCUUCUUCCAGGUUAACGAGCUCACUUUUGGCCACCGCGUGAGUUCGCACGUAUCAAAGUGGACUUCGAAAAUCGGUAGAAUGGAGUUCCUUGCUAGGUCCAAGUUAAGUAUUGCUUGACUUCCCGUCUCACCUUUUAACUGUUUCUUUUUCAGAUCACUUCGAACGCGGAUUGCUUUGCCCCACAUUCGCAGAGUUUUUCUCGAGGUUCUGCAGCCAGGGACAGAUUGCUUGGGAUUCUUUCUCCUGCGAAAGGAUCAGAGAGUCCACGGUGAGGCUCGGAAGACGUUUUCUAGUCUGUUCUACCCCCGUGAGCGUUUCGGAGAUGAAUUACAGGGAAGAAAGGGCAUGCCGAGCUGCCGAAAAAGAGGCAAAGAAACAUAUGGCGAUGGCCCUUGCUGAAGGUAAAGCUCGCCUUUCUAACAAGAAUUCCUCCGGAUCCUCCGUUCCCGAGGUGAGCGGGACUUCCGCACCUCCAACUGGCUCUCCCGAGCUGGGUACAGAAUCAACCAGGGCUCCUGCUGGCCCGUUGGUUCCCUCCGUGAUUGUCAUUGUUUACCGUGUGUCCGGAGCGAGGAUUGGGAAUCCGGAUGCUGUCGUUUUAAAUAAAAUGGAAGUACACAACAUUGUUUUGUAGACUAUAUAAUUUUAAUAAAUUGGUUACAAAUAGGUUAUGGAUUAUUUGAUAGAUUAGUUGGUUACAAGUUAAAUAGUGGGUUCAACAUUACUUUAUUUUUGGAAG
Camelina sativa (false flax) is the source of this 3072-nucleotide long non-coding RNA. RefSeq lists it as uncharacterized. The record is from RefSeq and is a predicted model, not a curated record. NCBI's taxonomy places the organism in Eukaryota, Viridiplantae, Streptophyta, Magnoliopsida, Brassicales, Brassicaceae.